AAAGCAGGUUCUACUUGUGGCUCCUCACCCAGAACUUUGGUUGCAAGAGCAUCAAGAUUUUUGGGAUGUCCAGCAAUCAAAUUACCGAUACAACGCAAUGCCCCACAACGUACAUCAACGGGAGUCCAUUGGCUUUCAACACCUAGCAUUAGAAGAUAAUCCAAAACCUUUAUCUGAACCAGGACUGUUUUAGGUCAGCUUGUUUGUGUCUUUUCCAGGAUCUGCACCCCCUACCAUUAACAAAUUAAUGGUUUCCAAUGCACUGAGUAGAUUGAUCGUCUUCUGUUGGGUAAAACUGUACGAACUUCCUCGUAGCUUCAAAAUUGAUACUACGGCAUCAAAACCUAUUGUCUCUCUCAGUAGUAUCUGAUUAGAAGCAUUGUUACGGAGAAGAUUGUUCAAUAAUUCAAGGCAGUCCUGCACAACAACACCACCUUCUGAACCUCCUUCCUCUUUGAUAAUGCUAAAAAUCUUCUCAAAUGCACCCUCAAAGACCACAAUUUUUUGGAUCUCCUCAGCUUCUCUAGUGAGGUAGGUAAGAAGCAAUAAGGCCUCAUUUCUUAUAACCUC
Molecule: unclassified non-coding RNA, 570 nt
Filed under: Hevea brasiliensis (rubber tree)
Lineage: Eukaryota; Viridiplantae; Streptophyta; Magnoliopsida; Malpighiales; Euphorbiaceae
Source: RNAcentral